AAUGCGAUAAGUAAUGUGAAUUGCAGAAUUCAGUGAAUCAUCGAAUCUUUGAACGCACCUUGCGCUCCUUGGUAUUCCUUGGAGCAUGCCUGUUUGAGUAUCAUGAAAUCUUCAAAGUAAAUCUUUUGUUAACUCAAUUGGUUUCUACUUUGGUAUUGGAGGUCUUUGCAGCUUCACACCUGCUCCUCUUUGUUCAUUAGCUGGAUCUCAGUGUUAUGCUUGGUUCCACUCGGCGUGAUAAGUUAUCUAUCGCUGAGGACACUGUAAAAGGUGGCCAAGGUAAAUGCAGAUGAACCGCUUCUAAUAGUCCAUUGACUUGGACAAUACUUUUAUGAUCUGAUCUCAAAUCAGGUAGGACUACCCGCUGAACUUAAGA
RNAcentral lists this unclassified non-coding RNA (376 nucleotides) under plant metagenome. RNAcentral's name for it is "partial contains 5.8S ribosomal RNA, internal transcribed spacer 2, and large subunit ribosomal RNA". The stretch from base 1 to 103 matches the Rfam family "5.8S ribosomal RNA", at positions 52 to 154 of the family's 154-position model. The record is from RNAcentral.